Molecule: ribosomal RNA, 501 nt
Filed under: uncultured Actinomycetes bacterium
Lineage: Bacteria; Bacillati; Actinomycetota; Actinomycetes
Description: bacterial SSU rRNA
Rfam family: Bacterial small subunit ribosomal RNA
Source: RNAcentral
UGGGGAAUAUUGCACAAUGGGCGCAAGCCUGAUGCAGCGACGCCGCGUGAGGGAUGACGGCCUUCGGGUUGUAAACCUCUUUCAAUAGGGACGAAGCGCAAGUGACGGUACCUAUAGAAGAAGGACCGGCCAACUACGUGCCAGCAGCCGCGGUAAUACGUAGGGUCCGAGCGUUGUCCGGAAUUACUGGGCGUAAAGAGCUCGUGGGUGGUUUGUCGCGUUGUUCGUGAAAACUCACAGCUCAACUGUGGGCGUGCGGGCGAUACGGGCAGACUUGAGUACUGCAGGGGAGACUGGAAUUCCUGGUGUAGCGGUGGAAUGCGCAGAUAUCAGGAGGAACACCGGUGGCGAAGGCGGGUCUCUGGGCAGUAACUGACGCUGAGGAGCGAAAGCGUGGGGAGCGAACAGGAUUAGAUACCCUGGUAGUCCACGCCGUAAACGGUGGGUACUAGGUGUGGGUUUCCUUCCUUGGGAUCCGUGCCGUAGCUAACGCAUUAAGUA